UAGGGAAUCUUCCACAAUGGACGCAAGUCUGAUGGAGCAACGCCGCGUGAGUGAAGAAGGUUUUCGGACCGUAAAGCUCUGUUGUUGGUGAAGAAGGAUAGAGGUAGUAACUGGCCUUUAUUUGACGGUAAUCAACCAGAAAGUCACGGCUAACUACGUGCCAGCAGCCGCGGUAAUACGUAGGUGGCAAGCGUUGUCCGGAUUUAUUGGGCGUAAAGCGAGCGCAGGCGGAAGAAUAAGUCUGAUGUGAAAGCCCUCGGCUUAACCGAGGAAUUGCAUCGGAAACUGUUUUUCUUGAGUGCAGAAGAGGAGAG
Molecule: ribosomal RNA, 314 nt
Filed under: uncultured bacterium
Lineage: Bacteria
Description: partial 16S ribosomal RNA
Rfam family: Bacterial small subunit ribosomal RNA
Source: RNAcentral